UGCAGGAAGAAUGCCCUAUGGGUUGUAAACUGCUUUUAUUUGGGAAUAAACCUUUCUACGUGUAGGAAGCUGAAGGUACCAAAUGAAUAAGCACCGGCUAACUCCGUGCCAGCAGCCGCGGUAAUACGGAGGGUGCAAGCGUUAUCCGGAAUCAUUGGGUUUAAAGGGUCCGCAGGCGGAUUUAUAAGUCAGUGGUGAAAGCCUACAGCUUAACUGUAGAACUGCCAUUGAUACUGUAAGUCUUGAAUUCGGUCGAAGUGGGCGGAAUGUGUAGUGUAGCGGUGAAAUGCAUAGAUAUUACACAGAACACCGAUAGCGAAGGCAGCUCACUAGGCCUGGAUUGACGCUCAGGGACGAAAGCGUGGGGAUCAAACAGGAUUAGAUACCCUGGUAGUCCACGCUGUAAACGAUGAUUACUCGUUUUCGGCGAUAUACAGUCGGAGACUAAGCGAAAGUGAUAAGUAAUCCACCUGGGGAGUACGGUCGCAAGGUUG
Molecule: ribosomal RNA, 494 nt
Filed under: uncultured Bacteroidota bacterium
Lineage: Bacteria; Pseudomonadati; Bacteroidota
Description: bacterial SSU rRNA
Rfam family: Bacterial small subunit ribosomal RNA
Source: RNAcentral